RNAcentral lists this ribosomal RNA (512 nucleotides) under uncultured bacterium. Its description in RNAcentral is "bacterial SSU rRNA". It matches the Rfam family "Bacterial small subunit ribosomal RNA", at positions 17 to 518 of the family's 1533-position model. The record is from RNAcentral.
UUAUGGCUCAGGAUGAACGCUAGCUACAGGCUUAACACAUGCAAGUCGAGGGGCAGCAUGACGGAAGCUUGCUUCUGUUGAUGGCGACCGGCGCACGGGUGAGUAACGCGUAUCCAACCUGGCCCUUAGUAGGGGAUAGCCCGGCGAAAGUCGGAUUAAUACCCUAUGUUUUCCAAUGAGGACAUCUGAGCUGGAACAAAGGUUUACCGCUAAGGGAUGGGGAUGCGUCUGAUUAGGUAGUAGGCGGGGUAACGGCCCACCUAGCCGACGAUCAGUAGGGGUUCUGAGAGGAAGGUCCCCCACAUUGGUACUGAGACACGGACCAAACUCCUACGGGAGGCAGCAGUGAGGAAUAUUGGUCAAUGGACGAGAGUCUGAACCAGCCAAGUAGCGUGCAGGAUGACUGCCCUAUGGGUUGUAAACUGCUUUUAUGCGGGAAUAAAGUGAGGCACGUGUGCCUUUUUGUAUGUACCGCAUGAAUAAGGACCGGCUAAUUCCGUGCCAGCCGCAGC